GUCUCAAAGAUUAAGCCAUGCAUGUCUAAGUAUAAACCAUUUAUACAGGUGAAACUGCGAAUGGCUCAUUAAAUCAGUUAUAGUUUAUUUGAUAGUACAAUUACUACUUGGAUAACCGUGGUAAUUCUAGAGCUAAUACAUGCUAAAAGUCUCGACUUCUGGAAGGGACGUAUUUAUUAGAUAAAAACCAAUAA
Molecule: ribosomal RNA, 194 nt
Filed under: Scutellospora sp. SC1
Lineage: Eukaryota; Fungi; Glomeromycota; Glomeromycetes; Diversisporales; Gigasporaceae
Description: partial small subunit ribosomal RNA
Rfam family: Eukaryotic small subunit ribosomal RNA
Source: RNAcentral